AUGACCUCGGAUCGAGGUAGGGAUACCGCGCUGAACUUAAGCAUAUCAAUAAGCGGAGGAAAAGAAACCAACAGGGAUUACCUCAGUA
Molecule: ribosomal RNA, 88 nt
Filed under: Podosphaera pannosa
Lineage: Eukaryota; Fungi; Ascomycota; Leotiomycetes; Helotiales; Erysiphaceae
Description: partial 28S large subunit ribosomal RNA
Rfam family: Eukaryotic large subunit ribosomal RNA
Source: RNAcentral